AUUCUGCCCAUGCGGGGAAGGAUGAGAAGCUUCGACUAAGGUUCGGCUCGAGCGUCAGCGAGAGAGCGUUGCCGCAGGCAACGAC
RNAcentral lists this small RNA (85 nucleotides) under Escherichia coli. RNAcentral describes it as "partial RtT sRNA". It matches the Rfam family "RtT RNA", at positions 1 to 83 of the family's 130-position model. From Rfam's summary of the family: This family represents a bacterial cis-regulatory element known as RtT RNA. The exact function of RtT is unknown although it is thought that it may be involved in changing the cellular response in relation to amino acid starvation. Lineage: Bacteria; Pseudomonadati; Pseudomonadota; Gammaproteobacteria; Enterobacterales; Enterobacteriaceae. The record is from RNAcentral.